AUGGCGGCCGUGACGUUGGACGAGUCUGGGGGCGGCCUGCAGACGCCCGGAGGGGGGCUGAGCCUCGUCUGCAAGGCCUCUGGAUUCACCUUCAGCAGUUACCCCAUGUUUUGGGUGCGACAGGCGCCCGGCGAGGGGCUGGAAUUCGUCGCAGCUAUUAGUGGUACUGGUAGUGGCACAGGCUAUGGGGCAGCGGUGCAGGACCGUGCCCCCAUCUUGAGGGACAACGAGCAGAGCACAGCCAGCCUGCAGCUGAACACACAGGGCUGA
This is a non-coding RNA of Lagopus muta (rock ptarmigan), 270 nucleotides long. Lineage: Eukaryota; Metazoa; Chordata; Aves; Galliformes; Phasianidae. The record is from the annotation of a RefSeq genome assembly.